GUUCGAGUUUCGUCUCUGUCAGUUACAACUCACGAGUUACAAACCUCCCUCUCUUUUUUUUUUCUUUUUUUUUUUUUUUUAAUUUAAUUUUCUUUCUGCAAAUCACUCUCAAGAACAAAACAGUAAUCACAGCAAUUUUAGAGUUUUCAGGAAACAAACCAUUAAAACGAGAACAAGAAAAGCGGAGACACAACGAGUGCCUUCUCUGUUUUUGUUUUUUUUUUUCUCCCCAGCGCUUUUGAAUAACACAACAUCCUAGGGUUUCAUGUUCUUCGUAGCUCAUAUGUCUUAUGAAUGGAGAUUAUCACCUCUGCUUUUUUCUCGCCUCAAUUUUUUGUAGUCGCGGUUUCUACACUUUUGUGUUUACUCCUCGCUCUCCUCGCCGUCCGAUCAACAAAAUCUCCGAAAACAACGGACGAGACUGGUGCUGACGCGUCGGCGAAGAAGAAGCCGUGUAACUGCUCGUGUUCCUGCAACGGUGUUGUCGGAAAUAAUCAUCUGGAAUCUGCGGAGUCGGAUAUGUUGGAGAUAGAGAGAAGUACGCCGGUAGCGCCGGCGCCGGCGGUUGUGGUUGAGCGUGGGAGCGGCGCGUCGAUGAUGGAGCAGUUGGUCCCUGAGAUUACAACGCACGCGCUCAGUUAUUUGGAUUAUCCGAGUUUGUGUCGGCUUUCCAUGACCAAUUCGUUGAUGAGAAAAGCUGCUAAUGAUGAUAAUGCUUGGAAAGCUCUUUAUCAUAAGGAUUUUACAUUGGAGCAAGAUAGUGUGAUGCCGGUCCAUGGCUGGAAAGCGUAUUAUGCGGCUACCAGAGCCAUUGUUAAUGUUAAUGCAGAAUUUUUUAACAUCAUCAGAGAGAGGUCUCUUCCUGCGAUGGGUCAUUUCUGGCUUAAUGCAGAUUAUGUGAAGUGUAUUCAUGCCUCAGGGGAACUUUUUUCAGGGUAUAACUCUGUGAUUCAGAGUUGGCAGCUUGCAUUUAAUUGGGAACAAGGGGUUGAUUUUCAGGUUCAGGAUGUAAAGGCUCGGGUUCUGACAGACAUGGCUUGGGUUACAAUGAAAACCUACAUAGACAUCGACGCAGGACCAUUUAACAUGACUAAUGUGUUUGAGUUUCAUAAUGGACGGUGGUACAUGGUGCACCAUCACAGUUCAGUGAUGCUCAUUGAUGGAGAGGUGGAUCAACAAGUUGUGCAUGCGUAAAGAGAAAAAAGAAGAUGAUACCAAUGAUAACUUUGAUAUACUAGAUACAGAAAUAGUGAGAUAUUUAUUAGCAUGACCACAAUUCAAGUGAUUGAAUUUUCAAAGAUUGAAAGGGCAAAUGAAACCCUUGGGAUGCUCUUUGCUAGUUUUGGAGGCAGGUCUGGAUAUAUUGAAAGGUGAAAUUUCUGAAAAAUGGAUGGUAGUUGUCUAUGCGCUUAACAUUAUGUCUCAGUUGUCAUAUGCACUCUCAGAUUGUUAAAAAAAAAAAAAAAAAAAAAAAAUAUUUACGAAGUAGUUUGUAUGUAUGAUUUUACUUGAUUGGGAUUUGGGGAAUGCUGCCUCAUCAGAAUGUUAACUCCUGCGAAGCCUGCAAAGCUGUCAGGUAUCUUUUCCUAGUGCUGCUGCAAUUUCUUUUCAGCAAGAGACAGACCUUUUCCCUCUGCAUGAAUUGCUUUGAAGAAUUUUAACUGUUAACUGUUUGGAUGGUUCAAAUCGAACCUUAUUUUACAAACAUAUUGAUUUAGACUUUGGAGCUUGUUUGACUGGACUUAUUUAAUAUUUA
Molecule: RNA transcript, 1756 nt
Organism: Pistacia vera
Lineage: Eukaryota; Viridiplantae; Streptophyta; Magnoliopsida; Sapindales; Anacardiaceae
Gene name: F-box protein SKIP8-like
Exons: 4
Source: RefSeq, a predicted model, not a curated record